GGACUGGAGUGAAGUCGAAACAAGGUAGCCGUACUGGAAGGUGCGGCUGGAUCACCUCCUUU
RNAcentral lists this ribosomal RNA (62 nucleotides) under Simmondsia chinensis (jojoba). RNAcentral's name for it is "partial 16S ribosomal RNA". It matches the Rfam family "Bacterial small subunit ribosomal RNA", at positions 1472 to 1533 of the family's 1533-position model. The record is from RNAcentral. Lineage: Eukaryota; Viridiplantae; Streptophyta; Magnoliopsida; Caryophyllales; Simmondsiaceae.